CAGGUGAAGUGGAUUUUCAGUGAACUGUAAAGAAGUUUCUCAGAAGAAAGAGAAGACUGUUUACAUAAGAUUUCCUUGAAAGACAUGGCUUCUCUUCAUGUAAAUACAUCCAAGUUCACAGCACGGUCUCCAUUACUGGUUCUUUGAGCCUCAGAAAAGAAUUCUGUUCAUCAGCUGUUACACACAUGUAGUUCACUGAUUUGUGGAACCAUUUGGAAGCAGCACCAACAUUGUUCAGUCAGCGUUGGAUCUUGUCUUCAUGUUUUCUUUACUCUCUGCGGUCUUGCUGUGUGUCGGCCUGUUCUGGUCUCCUGUCAGGAACAAAGCGCAGCGCCCCAGAAUGUGAAGAGAGGGGAGACUGUAGCCAAUCAGAUCUCAACUCUUAGAAGAGAGCUGAGAGUUUACAAUAUAGAGGGAUCCUACAGUUUUGAAGAAUGUGACCAGUGGUUUAACAAGUCCUCAAAACUUAUAUGCCAUCAAAACAUUCAUACUUGGAAGAAACUCUACAAAUGUGAAGAAUGUGUCAAGUCCUUUCAUCUGGCCUCAACUGUUAACAGUCAUAAAACUAUUCAUACUUGGGAGAAACUCAGUAAAUGUCAAGAAUGUGACAAGUCCUUUAGCUAGGCCUCAAAUCUUACAUGUCAUAAAAAUAUUCAUACCGGUAUUUUAUUUUUUUUAAUGGCUAUUGUGAAUGGGAGUGUUUCCCUGUGCUCUUUCUCUGACUGCUUGUCAUUGGUAUAUA
Nannospalax galili (Upper Galilee mountains blind mole rat) is the source of this 742-nucleotide RNA transcript. It is a transcript of the gene named zinc finger protein 682-like, with no coding region annotated. The transcript is spliced from 4 exons. The record is from RefSeq and is a predicted model, not a curated record. NCBI's taxonomy places the organism in Eukaryota, Metazoa, Chordata, Mammalia, Rodentia, Spalacidae.